Molecule: long non-coding RNA, 257 nt
Filed under: Elaeis guineensis (African oil palm)
Lineage: Eukaryota; Viridiplantae; Streptophyta; Magnoliopsida; Arecales; Arecaceae
Description: long non-coding RNA (EGUI_LNC059247)
Source: RNAcentral
CAUCAAAUUUAUCUAGAUUAUUUUUUCUAUUGUUAUAAAUAAAAUAUUUAUAACUAGAAAUAUAAAAGUAGUUAAUGUUAGGUCUUUUUUCUUUCCAAUGCUCAUAGAAUUUUUUUUUAAAAUUGAUUGGAUUGAAACUUUAUUAAGGAUGUAACAUGCUAUAUUUAUAGCUUCAGUCUUAAAAUAUUUGGAUAGUUUUUCUUCACACAACAUGGUAUGGACCAUAUCUACUCGGGUUCUAUUCUUUCUUUCAACUA